UACGUAGGGAGCAAGCGUUAUCCGGAAUUAUUGGGUGUAAAGGGUGCGUAGACGGGAGUCUAAGUUAGUUGUGAAAUCCCUCGGCUCAACUGGGGAACUGCAACUAAAACUGGACAUCUUGAGUGCAGGAGAGGAAAGUGGAAUUCCUAGUGUAGCGGUGAAAUGCGUAGAUAUUAGGAGGAACACCAGUGGCGAAGGCGACUUUCUGGACUGUAACUGACGUUGAGGCACGAAAGUGUGGGGAGCAAACAGG
This 253-nucleotide ribosomal RNA is filed under the name uncultured bacterium. RNAcentral describes it as "partial 16S ribosomal RNA". It matches the Rfam family "Bacterial small subunit ribosomal RNA", at positions 524 to 776 of the family's 1533-position model. The record is from RNAcentral.